AAGUUCCAUGUCCUCCAUGGGCCAUGAUUGACAUCCAGAUAAAUUGUGCCCACAACAUAAGAUGAAGGUUGAUGACAUCUUUUUGAGCCACCAGUGACCACUUUUGUUGUUGCUGCCUUUCCUGAGGAAAUGUGAGUUAAAAAGACACAUUCCUUUUCCUUCAUGGGCCAUGAGUGACAUCCAGAGAAAGCAUCGCCACAACAUUGGACGAAGGUUGAUGACAUCUGAAUGAGCUACCAGUGACCCUUUUGGUUGUUACUGCCUUGCCUGAGGAAAAGCGAGUCAAAAAAUGAUACCUACAGUGAUGAGUUGGAGUCAUUAUAGAUGGUGCCAUUUCUUCUACCUGCAGCUUCACCAAAACAAUCUUCAUUCUACAUGCUGAUGCCUCUAUCCUGUGUAACAGCAGACACCACCUGCAGAUAAGAAAUGCUUAAGGGGAGGAUUCUUUUGAUGACUAUUACUAUUUCACCAUCUGGCCUUAACAGAUAUUUGGAGAGAAAUCCUGCAUGAGCCUGGUUCACCACUUUUGGCAAACCCUGCAAGCACCUUGAUCUACAUUCUACCCAUGUGCAAGUCUGAGAUGCCCACUCAUUGCUCCAGACACUGUCUUUUCUGGUGUUUUGAGUCAUCUGAUAUGCCUCCUUGAAAUGCAGAAAAGCACAGAUCUCAGUGUUUUGCAGUCAUAUGAAUUGGCAAUUUGGAAGGAAGAGAAGCACAGAUCUCAGGGAAGAUAUUCUUCCAAGUUUCAAAAAGGGUGCCCUUGCAUCCCUCGAAGAGCUUUCUACACUGCAGCCCUCUCCAGGUACAUGUGACAAUUUGAAACUCUGAGGCAGUUUUGGAGGGCCAGUCAUCUGACAUACCACCUUGGAGGAAGAGUACCACAGAUCUCAGUUAGGGAAGACAUUCCUCCAAGUUUCAAGCAAGUGGGCCCUUGCAUCACUUGAAGAGUUUUCUACCCAGCAGUCCUCUCCAGUUACUUGGGACUAUUUGACUUUGAGGGACUUUUGGAAGGCCAGGUAAGCAGUGGGCAUAAGUUAGGUGAUAUCAAAUUAUAGGUAGCCAUUUUCUGUAUAGGCCUGGGUCAAUGAUGACAACACAAUGUCAUGAAGAGUGGUGAUGACAUAAAAAUCAUGCUCAAUAGGAUUACGCUGAGGCCCAACCAGGGCGACAGGGUUACAAGCAGUCCUUUGACUCCAUGAGGACCUCUUGGGCAACUUCUGCGAGGUCCUCAGAUACCCUUGCCCUGUUUCCCAUGAGAGGAAAGAUGGACAGUUAUGGUGCACUUUGGUUGCCAAACAGUGCAUGACAACAAGCACCUAGUCCCACAUUCUACUCUUGGGCAUUUCUGCAUGC
RNA transcript from Mus pahari (shrew mouse), 1353 nucleotides. RefSeq lists it as uncharacterized. The transcript is spliced from 9 exons. The record is from RefSeq and is a predicted model, not a curated record. Lineage: Eukaryota; Metazoa; Chordata; Mammalia; Rodentia; Muridae.